RNAcentral lists this transfer RNA (72 nucleotides) under Dasypus novemcinctus (nine-banded armadillo). RNAcentral describes it as "tRNA-Glu (TTC) (tRNA-Glu-TTC-12-1)". It matches the Rfam family "tRNA". From Rfam's summary of the family: Transfer RNA (tRNA) molecules are approximately 80 nucleotides in length. Lineage: Eukaryota; Metazoa; Chordata; Mammalia; Cingulata; Dasypodidae. The record is from RNAcentral.
UUCCUGGUGGUCUAGUGGCUAGGAUUUGGCACUUUCACUGCCGCAGCCCAGGUUCGAUUCCUGGCCAGGGAA